Molecule: ribosomal RNA, 460 nt
Filed under: uncultured bacterium
Lineage: Bacteria
Description: partial 16S ribosomal RNA
Rfam family: Bacterial small subunit ribosomal RNA
Source: RNAcentral
CCUACGGGGGGCUGCAGUGAGGAAUAUUGGUCAAUGGGCGCGAGCCUGAACCAGCCAAGUAGCGUGAAGGAUGACUGCCCUACGGGUUGUAAACUUCUUUUAUAGAGGAAUAAAGUGCGGCACGUGUGCCUUUUUGUAUGUACUUUAUGAAUAAGGAUCGGCUAACUCCGUGCCAGCAGCCGCGGUAAUACGGAGGGUCCGGGCGUUAUCCGGAUUUAUUGGGUUUAAAGGGAGCGUAGAUGGGGUGUUAAGUCAGGUGUGAAAGUUUGCGGCUCAACCGUGAAAUUGCAAUUGAUACUGGCAGGCUUGAGUACAGGUGAGGUAGGCGGAAUUCGUGGUGUAGCGGUGAAAUGCUUAGAUAUCACGAAGAACUCCGAUUGCGAAGGCAGCUUACUAAACUGCCACUGACAUUGAUGCUCGAAAGUGUGGGUAUCAAACAGGAUUAGAUACCCCUGUAGUC